AGUAUAUUUAUUAUGUUUAUAAUAUUUAUUUAUGUUAAUUUAUUAUAAGGAACUAGGCAAAAUUGAUUUCCGCCUGUUUAUCAAAAACAUGUCUUCUUGUUAAUAUUAUGAAGUCUGGCCUGCUCACUGACGAGUUUUGAAGAGCCGCGGUAUUUUGACCGUGCAAAGGUAGCAUAAUCAUUAGUCUCUUAAUUAGGGGCUGGAAUGAAUGGCUUGACGAGAAAUCAACUGUCUCUUAAUAAUUUUUAAAAUUUAACUUUUGAGUUAAAAGGCUUAAAUUUUUCUUUAGGACGAGAAGACCCUAUAGAGCUUGACAUCUUACUUUUAUAUAGUUUUUAGUUGAUCUUUCUAUAUAAAAUGAUAAUGUUUUGUUGGGGUGACAUGAAGAAUAAAUAAACUCUUCGUUAUAUAAUCAUUGAUUUAUGUUUAUCAUGAUCCAUAAUUUAUGAUCAUAAGAUUAAGUUACCUUAGGGAUAACAGCGUAAUUGUUUUCGAGAGCUCAUAUCGACAAAGCAGAUUGCGACCUCGAUGUUGGAUUAAGAAAAAUGUUGGGUGCAGUAGCCCAAUGAUUAGGUCUGUUCGACCUUUAAAUUCUUACAUGAUCUGAGUUCAGACCGGCGUGAGCCAGGUCGGUUUCUAUCCUAAGAAAAUUAAUUUGCAUUAGUACGAAAGGACCAUGUGAAUGAAAUAUUUUUUUGUGUUGAUUAAAAUUAAUUAUUU
This 720-nucleotide ribosomal RNA is filed under the name Eyprepocnemis plorans. RNAcentral's name for it is "partial 16S ribosomal RNA". It matches the Rfam family "Bacterial large subunit ribosomal RNA", at positions 1662 to 2740 of the family's 2925-position model. The record is from RNAcentral. Lineage: Eukaryota; Metazoa; Arthropoda; Insecta; Orthoptera; Acrididae.